AGCAGCCGCGGUAAUUCCAGCUCCAAUAGCGUAUAUUAAAGUUGUUGCAGUUAAAAAGCUCGUAGUUGAAUUUCGGGAUCAAUAUAACGGUCAUGCCGUUGGUAUGCACUGUUAUAAUUGAUUUCUCACCUUCUAAAGAACCGUAAUGCCAUUAACUUGGUGUCACGGGGAAUUAGGACUGUUACCUUGAAAAAUUAGAGUGUUUAAAGCAGGCUCACGCUUGAAUACAUUAGCAUGGAAUAAUGAAAUAGGACAUCCGAUUCUAUUUUGUUGGUUUCUAGGAUCGAUGUAAUGAUUAAUAGGGAUAGUUGGGGGCAUUAGUAUUCAAUUGUCAGAGGUGAAAUUCUUGGAUUUAUUGAAGACUAACUACUGCGAAAGCAUUUGCCAAGGAUGUUUUCAUUAAUC
RNAcentral lists this ribosomal RNA (405 nucleotides) under uncultured Glomeromycotina. RNAcentral's name for it is "SSU rRNA". It matches the Rfam family "Eukaryotic small subunit ribosomal RNA", at positions 569 to 978 of the family's 1831-position model. The record is from RNAcentral. Lineage: Eukaryota; Fungi; Glomeromycota.